GCCGGUCAUGGUGGUGCAUGCCUUUAAUCCCAGCAGCUCAGGAGGCUGAGACAGGAGGUCUGAGAGUUCAAAGCCAGCCUCAGCAAAGGUGAGGCACUAAGCAACUCAGCAAGACCCUGUCUCUA
RNAcentral lists this small RNA (125 nucleotides) under Marmota monax (woodchuck). The record is from RNAcentral. Lineage: Eukaryota; Metazoa; Chordata; Mammalia; Rodentia; Sciuridae.